UUCAAAAUAUACUAAACUUUACAUAAUUUCUUCUGCCAUGUUUCAAAUUUCCUUACAAGGCUUAUUAUAUAGAGUUUCUCCAAAAAGCUACCCCGAUGCAUACAUAAUGCAUACCACACUGAACUAACUAACAAUCUCUUCCGUGGUUUCCUUAUAAAAAUACAAAGUUCAGAUCAUUCCUUUGAGAUAGCAUCAAUUAUAUCACCACUUGACAGGCUUUUUGCCUUGAUGAACUUCAAGGAUUCCAGUUCGCAUCAAUAAAAUUGUCUCACUAUUCACCUUCUCUUAUUUAUAAGAAAUAGGUGAUGAAUAAAUGGAUGGACAUCAACUGUGUGCAGAACUUUCUCUAAGCCUCAAUGCUCGGGAGGUUUUAGGUAAGUUUACUUCUUUUUCUUUCUUCCCCUCCCCCCAGUGUUAAUGUCUAUCUGCAUAAACUCUUCUAUUUAGAUUUAUCAUGGUGGUUAGAGAGAAUUAAUACAAUAAGAACAAGUAGUGGAUGUGAGUUGCUACUUUUCAGUUUGACUUUUACCAAUUUCAUAUAACUUGCCGUGUGUUUGUUUUGUAUUGUUUGCAUAGAUUAUACUUUGAUCUUCCUUUUAUUAGUUGUCAAGUUAAAAGUGUGGGAAUGGUUGAGAGCUAGAAGCUGCCACUUCACACAUGCUACCUAUGAAUGGUUCAAUGAACCAAUCCUCUGCCUACUCGAUUAUUAGAUGGAAGGAAUUUUUAAGUUUACUGGUUUUGUUAAUUUGUACCGAUACACUUGCAAUACUUUGGCUCUUUGUCAAAUUAUUGAAUCUCUUUUUGUAUAGGGUUUGGGGGUACCCUUUUACCCCCUUGAAUGUAUCAUUGCUUAUAAAAAACAAUCUUUGUUGC
Molecule: long non-coding RNA, 873 nt
Organism: Lotus japonicus
Lineage: Eukaryota; Viridiplantae; Streptophyta; Magnoliopsida; Fabales; Fabaceae
Exons: 2
Source: RefSeq, a predicted model, not a curated record